CGAGCAGCAGCUGUCCGAGCACGCAGGGCUGUGUCACCUGUCAGACCCCAGCUCACCCCGAGGGGACACCCGGGCGCUGCCCGCAGCCCAACAGCUGACACUGGAUUCUACCAUGAAGUCCAGUUGAAGAAUCCCGUUUCCUGGGCUGUUGGGGUCCACUCCGGCUAGCUAUAGACCCUUGCCCACACGAUACUUCAUAGACAAAGGACAUAAACCUCUGGAAUUUGUGGAUUUUCCUGACAAUGGGCCAUGGGGCAGGAUGACGAAUUCACCAGGGGUUACCUGAAGAGCCUCAGAACCCACCUCAUAGUGCUGUGUUCCUCCUCCUUAUGGUGUGUUAUCAGCCUAAUGAUACUUAUUUGGCCCUUCAUGGUAAUGCAGCCUUCCAGCCUUGGUACACAGAAGACUAACUAAACUUUUCUCUCCUUUGCCUUCUCACCCAUGUGCCAAAGUACU
Onychostruthus taczanowskii (white-rumped snowfinch) is the source of this 456-nucleotide long non-coding RNA. RefSeq lists it as uncharacterized. NCBI's taxonomy places the organism in Eukaryota, Metazoa, Chordata, Aves, Passeriformes, Passeridae. The record is from RefSeq and is a predicted model, not a curated record. The transcript is spliced from 3 exons.